This is a small nucleolar RNA of Apodemus sylvaticus (European woodmouse), 132 nucleotides long. RefSeq annotates it as small nucleolar RNA SNORA17. The transcript has a single exon. The record is from RefSeq and is a predicted model, not a curated record. NCBI's taxonomy places the organism in Eukaryota, Metazoa, Chordata, Mammalia, Rodentia, Muridae.
CCUGUCCCUAGAGGCAUUGCAGAUAUGGUUGCCAUGACACAUAUGUAUCCUUGGGUGACUGAAAGGAGAGAGGGUAUGUCCAUGUUCCAUGUUCUUACCUAUGAAUAUCUGAAUGAUUAGUAGUGUAACAUU